RNAcentral lists this ribosomal RNA (516 nucleotides) under uncultured bacterium. RNAcentral describes it as "bacterial SSU rRNA". It matches the Rfam family "Bacterial small subunit ribosomal RNA", at positions 501 to 1016 of the family's 1533-position model. The record is from RNAcentral.
CUACGUGCCAGCAGCCGCGGUAAUACGUAGGUCCCGAGCGUUGUCCGGAUUUAUUGGGCGUAAAGCGAGCGCAGGCGGUUAGAUAAGUCUGAAGUUAAAGGCUGUGGCUUAACCAUAGUACGCUUUGGAAACUGUUUAACUUGAGUGCAAGAGGGGAGAGUGGAAUUCCAUGUGUAGCGGUGAAAUGCGUAGAUAUAUGGAGGAACACCGGUGGCGAAAGCGGCUCUCUGGCUUGUAACUGACGCUGAGGCUCGAAAGCGUGGGGAGCAAACAGGAUUAGAUACCCUGGUAGUCCACGCCGUAAACGAUGAGUGCUAGGUGUUAGACCCUUUCCGGGGUUUAGUGCCGCAGCUAACGCAUUAAGCACUCCGCCUGGGGAGUACGACCGCAAGGUUGAAACUCAAAGGAAUUGACGGGGGCCCGCACAAGCGGUGGAGCAUGUGGUUAAUUCGAAGCAACGCGAAGAACCUUACCAGGUCUUGACAUCCCUCUGACCGCUCUAGAGAUAGAGUUUUC